This 630-nucleotide ribosomal RNA is filed under the name uncultured soil bacterium. RNAcentral describes it as "bacterial SSU rRNA". It matches the Rfam family "Bacterial small subunit ribosomal RNA", at positions 60 to 691 of the family's 1533-position model. The record is from RNAcentral.
AGUCGAGUGCGCGUCCGUAGCAAUACGGAUGGCGCACGGCGCACGGGUGCGUAACACGUGGGCAAUCUGCCCUCGGAUGGGGGAUAACCCCGCGAAAGCGGGGCUAAUACCGCAUGACAUUCCCGAGACUCCGGUCUUGGGACUCAAAGGCCGCAAGGCCGUCUGAGGAGGAGCCCGCGCCCGAUUAGCUAGUUGGUGAGGUAACGGCUCACCAAGGCUUUGAUCGGUAGCCGGUCUGAGAGGAUGGCCGGCCACACUGGAACUGAGACACGGUCCAGACUCCUACGGGAGGCAGCAGUGGGGAAUAUUGCGCAAUGGGCGAAAGCCUGACGCAGCGACGCCGCGUGGGGGAUGAAGCUUUUCGGAGUGUAAACCCCUUUCGACCCGGACGAAUGACCCGCAAGGGUUUGACGGUACGGGUAUAAGAAGCCCCGGCUAACUACGUGCCAGCAGCCGCGGUAAUACGUAGGGGGCCAGCGUUGCUCGGAAUUACUGGGCGUAAAGGGUUCGUAGGUGGUGCGGCAAGUUGGAAGUGAAAUCUCUGGGCUUAACUCAGAGGCUGCUUUCAAAACUGCCGUGCUCGAGUGCGAGAGAGGCCAGUGGAAUUGCAGGUGUAGUGGUGAAAUGCGU